This 440-nucleotide ribosomal RNA is filed under the name uncultured bacterium. RNAcentral's name for it is "partial 16S ribosomal RNA". It matches the Rfam family "Bacterial small subunit ribosomal RNA", at positions 338 to 795 of the family's 1533-position model. The record is from RNAcentral.
CCUACGGGAGGCUGCAGUGGGGGAUAUUGCACAAUGGGGGGAACCCUGAUGCAGCGACGCCGCGUGGGUGAAGAAGCGCCUCGGCGCGUAAAGCCCUGUCAGCAGGGAAGAAAAUGACGGUACCUGAAGAAGAAGCCCCGGCUAACGACGUGCCAGCAGCCGCGGUAAUACGUAGGGGGCAAGCGUUUUCCGGAUUUACUGGGUGUAAAGGGGGCGCAGACGGGGAUGCAAGCCAGGAGUGAAAGCCCGGGGCCCAACCCCGGGACUGCUCUUGGAACUGCGGGGCUAGAGUGCAGGAGGGGCAGGCGGAAUUCCUGGUGUAGCGGUGAAAUGCGUAGAUAUCAGGAGGAACACCGGUGGCGAAGGCGGCCUGCUGGACUGCAACUGACGUUGAGGCCCGAAAGCGUGGGGAGCAAACAGGAUUAGAUACCCUGGUAGUC